Non-coding RNA from Sapajus apella (tufted capuchin), 794 nucleotides. Lineage: Eukaryota; Metazoa; Chordata; Mammalia; Primates; Cebidae. The record is from the annotation of a RefSeq genome assembly.
UAACAGCAGGAGGAGGGCAUUCAAUGACGUGUCCGAUGUAACAGUGAGGUUUUGGUUGGCUGUAGAAAUGGAAUGAAGAUUCCCCAAAGGCUACCAAACCAAAAGAGCCAGAAGACUCUAGAGCAGUGAACUAGGCCUAGUGAACACAAUCAAUUCCCAGGCUCCAAACUGAAUUCACAGAGGCUCCAGGAAAAGGAAAGAAUGGAAACUCCAAUGAGCACCCUGCUGGUGGUCCUGUGUGCACAGCUGACCUGGUCAAAUGGACAACUGCCAGUGGAACAGAAUCCUCCUUCCCUGAAAGUAAAGGAAGGCGACAGCGUCACACUGAACUGCAGUUACAGAGAUAGUGCUUCAGAUUUCUUCCAGUGGUUCAGGCAGGAUCCCGAGGAAGGCCUCAUUUCCCUGAUACAAAUGCUAUCAAAUGUGAGAGAGAAGAUCAGUGGAAGAUUCACAGCCAGUCUUGAAAAAAAAGACCAGCACUUUUCUCUGCACAUACAGGAUUCCCAGCUCCAUGACUCAAGCACAUUCUUCUGUGCAGCAAGUACACAGUGCCCCACAGUCACCUGCACCCUAUACCUAAAGCUUUAUGAGAAACCAGGGCACACCUCCAUUUAUAAGGCCCUUGGGGCACUGACUAUAACUCUGCUGUGUGCAAAAGGAAAUAUGAGGGGCUGUUUUAUAACAUAAUAUCAAACAUUUCAUUUGAAGACCAUGUGCAGAGGGAUAAUGUUUUCAAACACUACCUAAAGUAUUUUGUUUCUCAGUGUGAGGCCCUUCCUUUGUGAAAACUAAUC